GGUUGCCAGGGGUAUGGCUGGUCCUCAGCCCCUCCUCUCUUAGGGGCCCUCACAGGAGUUGCGAAUAAUAGCAAUGGCAGUAAUAGUAACAUAGUGCGCACAGCAGCAGCGGCGGGGACAUCUGUGCCAGGACUUUGUGAAGUGCUUCCUAUCUCUCUGCAUCCUCACCACCCACGCCUCUGAGUAGGUGCUGUCACCGUCCCCACCUCACAGACCAAGAAACUGAGGUUGAGGGAAAGAAGCCCCUUGCCCCAGGGAGCCAGGUGGGAUCCAUGUGACAUCCUGGCCCCACUCUGGACCUCCUCUCCCUGGGGUACCUCGGGCACAGGAGGAGGCCACGGGCAUUUGGCCAACAGCUCCCCAGAGCUGCUUUCCUCCUAAGACCCACGCCUCCUCCUCAGGGACCAGCCUGUACCGUGGGAAGGUGGAGGGAGGAAAAUUCUCGGCGCCACAGGCAGCCCAUACGCUUCCAGUCACUGCUGUGGUUCCCCAUUUUGAAUAAAGCAGCAAACAUGUGCCCGUGAUCCCCAGGGAGCCCAGAAGCCUCCAGAACCUGGAGGUUCUUCCGCAGCGGGCUCCAAGCUGUCCCUGUGCCGAAGGAGAUGCAUUGGCCUUUAGUGUUUCUGGAAUGGGGUUCACUCCCCACACCGGGGCUCCCAUCCCACACCAUCUGCCCCAGCCUCAGAUCCACUAUUCACUUUGGGUUUCCAUCUGGUUCUGGUUUUGGGGGGUGGAGGGAGGGCGGGUUUAGGGAGGAGCAGAGAGGGGGCACCGGAUGGAGGCAAAUCCAAGACAUUCACAACUUUUCUGGGUGCCCCAGACACGGGCAUCUCCCCACCUGCUGCCGCAUCCACAACCCCCAGGGCUGCUUUAUCAUCAAGGAACCUGCUUUCUGUUUUUUUUUGAAAUGGAGUCUUGCUCUGUCGCCCAGGCUGGAGUGCAGUGGCAUGAUCCUGGCUCACUACAACCUCCACCUCCCGGGUUCAAGCAAUUCUCCUGCCUCAGCCUCCCGAGUAGCUGGGAGUACAGGUGCACACCACCAUGCCUGGCUAAUUUUUGUAUUUUUAAUAGAGACGGGGUUUUGCCAUGUUGGCCAGGCUGGUCUCGAACACCUGACCUCAGGUGAUCCGCCCGCCUCAGCCUCCCAAAGUGCUGGGAUUACAGGUGUGAGCCAUCACACCCAACCAGGGAACCUGCUCUCUGAUGCCUGCUUGGACCUCAGUGUCCUAGGCAGAAAAGGAGCCAGCACUGAAACCAGCUCUCCCAGGGAUGCCAAUGCCACAUGGAACCCAGCUUUGCCGGAGCCCGGGGACUGGCUCAGAGUGUGGGUGCGAGUGCAUGUGCACGCUCUAGGCACGCAGGGAGUACCCAUCUGCAAUGCUCCAGGCUGCAAAUCUGAACGUGUCAGCCUUCCUCCCCAAGGUCGUCUUAGCCACAGACCUUCUAGAUGUCGUAAUUAAUCUCUAAUUUGAAUUUUUAACUUCAAACACCACAUUACAAAAACAGUUGUGUUUUAUAGAUGGUAUCUGCCAUUAUAUAUGGUUACCAUUUGUGCUGUGGAAAAUAAAGCAAGAUGCCUCCUUCUGCACAGGAGUGGCGGUCACAUCCAGCCAGAAGCUAGGUUCAGUGCAGUGGAUCAGCACUGUCCUUCCAGAGAGGGGAUCCCAGGUCGCCAGGCAGGGCUGGGCAGGGGAGAGGGAUCUGGGUCCUGUGUGCGGGCUGGGGGCGGGGUGUUGGGCUGGGUAACUUAUCUCCCUUUUGGAAAGCAUGGUUAGAUACCAGCAAAGCCGUGAGGCAAGCUCCUGACACCCAGAACUCUGUUCCUAAUCUCAGCUCCCCUUCCUGUGGGGCUUGGGGAAACCUCUCCCUCAGUUUUUCCAUCUGUGAAGGGAACGUGAUGGUCCUAAAUGGGACAUCUGCCCCUCCUCCCAGGUGUCUAGGGCGGGUGGGGGGGGUGGGAGAGAGAGAGAGAAAGCAAAUUGUUAUUUUUCCUUUUCUUUUCUUUUCUUUUUUUUUUUUUUUUGAGACGGAGUCUCGCUCUGUCACCCAGGCUGGAGUGCAGUGGCAUGAUCUCAGCGCACUGCAACCUCCGCCUCCCAGGUUCAAGCGAUUCUCCUGUGUCAGCCUCCGGAGUAGUUGGGAUUA
This 2145-nucleotide long non-coding RNA is filed under the name Homo sapiens (human). RNAcentral's name for it is "non-protein coding lnc-ASB6-1:1". The record is from RNAcentral. Lineage: Eukaryota; Metazoa; Chordata; Mammalia; Primates; Hominidae.